GCUGGAUGGUGUGCUUCCUUUAUGAAAAUGAUGUCAGCACUGCAAGGGUAUAGGUAUUGUUCACCCUUUCAACAAGAAACAGCAAGAUCCAUCCCAAUACUGUAUACAGUGGAACUUUGUGCAAAGGAGAGGCAGUAGCAAUGGGAAAUGGCUCUUCCCAAAAUUCUAUAAAACUCAGUUUUCAUCACUGGCCUUUUCAAUCAUGUAGGGCAACUGCCUUUUUACCCAGAAGGAGGUGCGGCCAGUGCAUGGUGACACGGUAGCACAUAAUUUGUCUUGUCACGAGUGAAAACAUACAUCUGACGAGGUGAAUUGCAGUUAUGCAGUUGCGCUGGAAACAGUUUCUGAAGUAAUGCUACUUGACAGCAUUGGCAAUCUAUUGAACAUGUUUCUUUUCUCUCUCUUUCUCUUUUUUGCUUUAGUCCUCCAGGAGUACUCCAAGAGCAAAUGACAUUUUCUAUCUUGGUGGGGCAUUCUAUCACUCCGUUCCCAGACAAAUCAAUAUCUCAAGAGUAACAGUUUCUUUGAGUCACAUUGGUAAAUUUCUGGGUCACUGGUUUGUCUAGAAUUUGCUUCAGUCUAGAGUGUUUUCUAUCACAUAUUUUCCUCUACUGGAACACAGACACGGCACUGCCUUUUCCAGACAGUGGCACAGUUCAGUUUAAACAACCUACACUAAGAUUAUGAAAGGCUUGGGUUACCUAACAGAUAUAGUGUGUAUGUGCUAUGUGGGUGGGCAUUAUUAUCAGGAAUAGGCAGUAGGCCUAUUUCUGAUACGUAUUUAAAACACAUAUUUCAAAUACAAAAAUACAGAAUUUUGUCAUUUGUAUUUUAUUGGAUUGAAGAAAAUUUGACUUUGUACCAAAAUACUUUAUUGACGUGUAUUUUUGUAGUCUAAAAAUACUGCAAAAUACUUUCCAUUGCAUAAAAGCUAAAAUGAUGCAUGCAGCCUCUGAUUGGUGGUGACUUAUGCCACUGUACAAUUUUGAUCCGACUUUAGCCCAGAAUCAGACGGAUCCAACAACGACGCACACGAUAAUCAAUGUUUCAGAUCCGGUCCAAUCCGAUUGGAUAGCUGUCAGAACUGUUUUACAGUGUGAGCAGUCAAACGGCCUACACUGUGACCACAUCAGUCGUGAUCCGAGUGAAAUAAAUGACCAUGUUGUGUGCGCUACAGAAAAAAGUGCACCGUUUCUGCCUGGCUUAAGUGGAACUUGCUGUCUUUGGAACAGUGUAUCCUAAUCAAGCACCCUAUUGUGAGAUUUAACACAAUCACCCCAUUCUCUGUUCCAGUAGAGCAUUUACUUUCCCUUGCUGGAUUGAUCAACAGGCCUCAUCAACAUCAAAAAUGUGGUUGUGCUCCAAGCGAAAGCUAAAGAGCUUUAGCUAAAAGCUGAAGCCUCAAGCUAAAGAGACACACACACUCACACUCGUGCACACACAAACACAUACACACCCACAUCUUAUGCACAUUACAUUUCAUCAUUACACAUUUAAUUGUGUUUUUUACACAUUUAGUUGUGUUUUUUACACAUUUAGAUUUGGUCUUAUUAGUGAAAGGUGGUGCGAGCCACCCAGGCUGUGCUCCUGUUUCUCAGGCCCUUAUGUUGCUAUAUUUUAUACUGCAUAUCUAUCAAUCCUUGACAAAGGGAAGAAACAUUUCCCAUGUUAUUUCAUUAUCUCAAGCAUCUGUGGCAUCUAUAUUCGUGGAACACAACCUCGGUUCCUAUUCCCUGAUGGCUUGUUCACGGUUGCUGGACAUGCUUGUUGGCCACUGGUCAGGAUGAGCAGUUGAAUGGCACAGUGGCGACAGACAUAUCGUAUCAUUGUGACCUUGUCUCCCCAUUUGGGUGGAGUGCUGUUGUUGGAAUGCAAGGCUUCUCUCUAAAUAUUAGGUGCUUGGAGCGAGGAUUUUCUAUCUACGGAAUCCCAUCCUCUGCCUAUUUCUUAGUGGCUGUUUGAAGUAAGGCUGAUUGCAAUUAACUUGGUGAUUAAACGACCUUUAGAAAUCUGCAGUUGACUGCUGCCAUGCUAUUAACAUUCAGUGAGUACAUCCAAAAGCGGACGAACAACUGGAGCAGUUUUACCAAAGGGCUGCCCAAAGCAAAGGACCCCAAGGGUCAAGCCAAUAUGUCAGAUCUGUGAGUGCACUACUUUGUCAUGGUCUGCAUGCAGAUGGACUGCUCAUAAUGGGCCUAAUCUCAAGAGUGGUCAACUCACACAGCAAUGUGCUACUUUCGGCGCAUUAUACACUGGCACCACUGCCUUGUUCAUGCAGCCAUUCAACUGGAUCAGACAAUCAACCUGGCUUGUGCAUGUAAAUGGACUCUUCACAUUUUACAGGCCGACCUUUGAGUUCAGCUAUGCAUCAUAAGUGAAGGUGUAUAUAAGAUAUUUAAUAUAAAGUUAAUAGGUUAUUUAGUGAAUGAAUACAUGAUAGCUUCAGCGAAAGUUCUACUAGGAAGACUCGUAGUGUAGCUUACUCCUCCCAUGCUUACACGGAGCCAAUCUUAGCUUUGCCUACUUUCGGGAAAGCCCUGCAAUCUGAUCAUUCACUCAUUCAAUCAGCGCUAGCCUAUAGGAAUUCAGUGGGCUCUUUAAAUAUGUACCACCUAACACUGCUUCUGCUUCUCAGUACGCUGACUUUGACGUCCUAGCUCAGGCUUCCGCGUGGACCUGGGCUCUCUGCAUUUUUACAUUCGCCCCUUCUGCCCUCAGUGGCGUUACUUGUUACAAUCCUACCGCGCUCGUUUGCUGCGCUGUUCAGACCUGUGCGUCCUUCAGUCAGGACCACUGCAUGUCGCUUCAUCGCUAAUCUCUGCCUAUCGGAGCCAGUCACGCUCACGCUGUUGCAGCCUUCAAUUCACGAUAGCCUACUGCCGGGUCGCCGUCCUCGCGCAACUUUGUUGCAGGCCCAUGUCGUUUUCGGCAACAAUUUCUCAAGCUUCAGCGUCUGGUUGGUAAGGUUAUCGUGCUCUCUUCCCAAGCUCCUCGAGCUGGGCUACACUCUACCCACUGUCAUGCAACCUGCUUGCCAACGAUAUUCGGCGGGCAGCAAACAAACUGACUUGUCUGACACGGUUUAACUUUCACUUAAGCCUCCUUACAUAAUUCCUGCUGAUUUUAUAAUCCUUGCGAUUUGUGCUGUAAAUUGCUGGCCUGCACCACGCUGCCGUU
Long non-coding RNA from Alosa sapidissima (American shad), 3177 nucleotides. RefSeq lists it as uncharacterized. Lineage: Eukaryota; Metazoa; Chordata; Actinopteri; Clupeiformes; Clupeidae. The transcript is spliced from 2 exons. The record is from RefSeq and is a predicted model, not a curated record.